This 553-nucleotide long non-coding RNA is filed under the name Mytilus galloprovincialis (Mediterranean mussel). The record is from RNAcentral. Lineage: Eukaryota; Metazoa; Mollusca; Bivalvia; Mytilida; Mytilidae.
UCGUCACAUUUUUCUCAGGAACUACACAUCCACCCUUUCUGUAAUUUGGUAUCAGCAUUGAUAUAUGUCAGCCAUACCGUGUGAUGCGUUUUCAGAUUCAUCACUUGACAACUUCCUGUUUACCGAACACUUGUCUGAUUUUACACAUGAUAGCCAAGUUGAAAAUUUUCGUCACAUUUUUCUCAGGAAAUACAAUACAAGGAUUUCUGAAAUUUGGUUUCAGGAUUUAUAUAAGUCAGCUAUACCGUGUGAUGCGUUUUCAGAUUCAUCACUCGACAACUUCCUGUUUACCGAACACUUGUAUGAUUUUACACAUGAUAGCCAAGUUGAAAAUUUUCGUCACAUUUUUCUCAGGAACUACAAUACAAGGAUUUCUGAAAUUUGGUUUCAGGAUUUAUAUAAGUCAGCUAUACCGUGUGAUGCGUUUUCAGAUUCAUCACUUGACAACUUCCUGUUUACCAAACACUUCCAUAUUUUUACACUAUUAAUAUUAUCCACUUGCGGCGGGGGUAUCAUCAGUGAGCAGUAGCUCGCAGUUUCACUUGUUAUGAUA